GACAGUAGUGACCUUAGAGAAGCUGGGCUCUCCUAACCCCAGAGCUAGAAACGAAACAUAGCCACAGCUCGCACUGGGCCACCUACCUACAGGUUGAGGAGACCCAGCUGGGACAGAAAAGGUACCACGCCUAUACCCAUGGCCCUACCCGAGGGCCCAGCAGAUGGCAGCCUCCCUGAAGGGGACUCCAGUCCAUCAGCGUAGGGGAGCUCAGGGCAGCCCUCAAGGCUCUGUUGGGGGAACGCCUCAGCCAACGGGAAGUAGAUGAGAUACUCCAAGACAUUGACCUCAAUGGAGAUGGCCUGGUUGACUUUGAAGAAUUUGUUCGGAUGAUGUCUCGGUGAACCUGUGUAGCAGCUGGAGUGGACACGCCUGGAGGAUCCCAGCCUCCGAACUGCAGAGGAUCCUAUAUGUUCUUUGAAGGUCAUUGUGUUCAGGACUGUGCAUCUCCUCCCCAUACCCUGCCUGGGCACAGUGUCCUCGCCUGUCAUCACCCCAUAUUUUGUCCUGGUUCCGUAGCAAUAAAGCAGCUCCCAGCUUGUAUAUUCCACUCAUCCUGAAA
RNAcentral lists this long non-coding RNA (562 nucleotides) under Rattus norvegicus (Norway rat). RNAcentral's name for it is "long non-coding RNA NONRATT001403". The record is from RNAcentral. Lineage: Eukaryota; Metazoa; Chordata; Mammalia; Rodentia; Muridae.